Molecule: ribosomal RNA, 492 nt
Filed under: uncultured bacterium
Lineage: Bacteria
Description: partial 16S ribosomal RNA
Rfam family: Bacterial small subunit ribosomal RNA
Source: RNAcentral
AGUGAACGCUGGCGGUAGGCCUAACACAUGCAAGUCGAACGGCAGCACAAUAAGAGCUUGCUCUUACGGGUGGCGAGUGGCGGACGGGUGAGGAAUACAUCGGAAUCUACUUUUUCGUGGGGGAUAACGUAGGGAAACUUACGCUAAUACCGCAUACGACCUACGGGUGAAAGCAGGGGAUCUUCGGACCUUGCGCGAUUGAAUGAGCCGAUGUCGGAUUAGCUAGUUGGCGGGGUAAAGGCCCACCAAGGCGACGAUCCGUAGCUGGUCUGAGAGGAUGAUCAGCCACACUGGAACUGAGACACGGUCCAGACUCCUACGGGAGGCAGCAGUGGGGAAUAUUGGACAAUGGGCGCAAGCCUGAUCCAGCCGUACCGCGUGGGUGAAGAAGGCCUUCGGGUUGUAAAGCCCUUUUGUUGGGAAAGAAAAGCAGCAGGUUAAUACCCCGCUGUUCUGACGGUACCCAAAGAAUAAGCACCGGCUAACUUCGUG